GACAUACUUUCUGGCAGAAGUUCUAGUGCAGUCAGAGUUGCACAUAUGUUAUGCUUUUGCCAUAUGUUGCGUAUUCUUGUAGAGGAGCUCUUCUACGGUACCCCAGAAUUAAUUUGGACCGUCCAUUUUUUAGAUCUAAGGGCUCAGAUUUGUUACUACUCCCUAGUACUCCAAUUGUGAAGUGUGGAGUAGUAGGAUGGAGUAAUCAGAAUCAAGGCCAAAGACGUAAUUUCGUCAAAGAAAAAAAAUCCCCAAAACACACCCCGACUGACACCGGAGGCUCCCAUGGCAAGGGAGUGGAGGGCGGAGGCGGCGGCGCAUGCUGGGCGAGGGCUGGUCGAGGACGGUGGCGGCAUCUGUCAGGAGGAGAGGUGGCCGUAGGCUGGGAAGGCGUCGUGCGCGGCGUUGAAGGUGCGGGCUGCAAGGAUGGAAUGGGGAGCCGUGAAGGCGACGGCGGCGGCCGCGCGCAGGGAAGGCGGCAACACGCCGGGCAAGGACGGCGGCGGCCGGCCGUGCGCAGGGAAGGUGGCGGCGCGGCAAGGGCGGCAGCGGCCACGCGCAUCGGGACUACGAGAGUGACGAAGGAAAUAAUUCUAAAUUUAUUUUUAUCCAUGCGAAAAUGUGAAAAGACAAAAAUGCCCAUGUGUAAUACUCCGUUUAAUCCUGCUGGAGUAACAGGUACGAGAGAAUUUGCCUUGUAGAGUGCAUCUUUCUUUGGCAUAUCUAUCCCAAAUAAGUGCCUGAAAGUGCACAUGUUAGUCAAAUAAUCCAUGAGCGGUAGCAAAUAAUAUCAAGGAGACAUUGUAUUCAAGAAAAAAUAACUAAGCUACCUUUACUGGUUUGACCAUUUAUUUGUUGAAGUUUUGAUUUUAUAUUAUCAUAUAUGUUUCUGGGAACUGUAAAUCCAAAGUUAAGUGGUAUCAUAGCAUUUGAGUAUUUCCUGUAUCAUUUCAUGACCUGUAAAUGUAUUGAACACUUCAAAGGUCUCUGAACACCUGAAAGCUCUCUGAAUUUUUUGACAACAGCCACCGAUGGAACAAGGCAAAG
This 1047-nucleotide long non-coding RNA is filed under the name Brachypodium distachyon (stiff brome). RNAcentral describes it as "long non-coding RNA (BDIS_LNC001235)". Lineage: Eukaryota; Viridiplantae; Streptophyta; Magnoliopsida; Poales; Poaceae. The record is from RNAcentral.